CCAACUAAUGCACUUGUCCUCUUUAUGAUGUUAUCUACCAGGGGAUACUUAGUUGUGCCAUGGUGAUACCGAGAGAGGCAAUUGCUAAGUUAUGAUACUCUCAUACCUUUACUAGAUGCGAACAAUUUCGGAGGAGAAGAAGAAGAAGUGGAAUCGGACAAGGAUUUUAUUUGUACUGUGGGAAUUCUUAUUUGAUGGAGUUGAAGAAGUCCAGGGACAAAUAAGCCAAGGCAAGCCAUCUUUUGAUCUCUGAUAUGAUGUCUCUUUGGAUGUCAUCUUGUGCUAUCAAUAGCAUCUUGGUUCUAUGUGUGAUGAUCUC
Molecule: non-coding RNA, 319 nt
Organism: Lolium perenne
Lineage: Eukaryota; Viridiplantae; Streptophyta; Magnoliopsida; Poales; Poaceae
Source: RefSeq, a predicted model, not a curated record